Molecule: long non-coding RNA, 428 nt
Filed under: Vigna radiata
Lineage: Eukaryota; Viridiplantae; Streptophyta; Magnoliopsida; Fabales; Fabaceae
Description: long non-coding RNA (VRAD_LNC004469)
Source: RNAcentral
CUGCCUGAAGAGAGAUCAAAACAGAAAAAUGAUAAAAUUUGUAGAGAGAAGAUGAAGGAAUUUAGAAAAAAGAGGAGAAAAUAAAGUUCUAUAGAAUUUAAAAAAGAAAGUUGCGUGCAAAGAAGUGACACGAGAGAACGAUCCACUCUGCUGGAGUGACCUAUCCUCCAUUUUUUGAAUCUCACAUUCCUUGCCUUAACACCUAAAUUCCACUCAACUGGGAAAUUUAAUGACCCUGGCAAAAAUCAUACUUUUUUUUAUUGUUUUUUUUUUCGAUUUUAUUCAAUCUCAAUUUUAAUAUUAUUUAUUCGACUUCAGUUAAAAUAUUAUUGACUUGACUGAAACUGCAAUCUAUCGGCGGGAAAUUUUCUUUUUAUAUUCUAUAGUUAGGGAUACUUAUUUUUAAGUUAAAGUUAUUAUCACUUUUG